RNAcentral lists this ribosomal RNA (82 nucleotides) under Crocodylus porosus (Australian saltwater crocodile). Lineage: Eukaryota; Metazoa; Chordata; Crocodylia; Crocodylidae. The record is from RNAcentral.
UCCUAUUCCUCCUUCAGCUCAGGAUUAGACUCAGUUAGUACUUGGGUUGGAGACCACUUGCGAAUACUGGGUGGUGUAGUAU